UACGUAGGGGGCAAGCGUUGUCCGGAUUUAUUGGGCGUAAAGCGCGUGUAGGCGGCCAUACAGGUCCGUUGUGAAAACUCGAGGCUUAACCUCGAGACGUCGAUGGAAACCGUAUGGCUAGAGUCCGGAAGAGGAGAGUGGAAUUCCUGGUGUAGCGGUGAAAUGCGCAGAUAUCAGGAAGAACACCAAUGGCGAAGGCAGCUCUCUGGGACGGUACUGACGCUGAGACGCGAAAGCGUGGGGAGCGAACAGG
This 253-nucleotide ribosomal RNA is filed under the name uncultured bacterium. RNAcentral describes it as "partial 16S ribosomal RNA". It matches the Rfam family "Bacterial small subunit ribosomal RNA", at positions 524 to 776 of the family's 1533-position model. The record is from RNAcentral.